AGAGUUUGAUCCUGGCUCAGAACGAACGCUGGCGGCGUGCUUAACACAUGCAAGUCGAGUGCGCGGUUGUAGCAAUACAACUGGCGCACGGCGCACGGGUGCGUAACACGUGGGCAAUCUGCCCUUCGAUGGGAAUAACUCCGGGAAACCGAAGCUAAUUCCGCAUAACAUUCCCUGGACUCCGGUUCGGGGAUUCAAAGCCGUAAGGCGUCGAAGGAGGAGCCCGCGCCCGAUUAGCUAGUUGGCAGGGUAACGGCCUACCAAGGCUAUGAUCGGUAGCUGGUCUGAGAGGAUGGCCAGCCACACUGGAACUGAGACACGGUCCAGACUCCUACGGGAGGCAGCAGUGGGGAAUCUUGCGCAAUGGGCGAAAGCCUGACGCAGCGACGCCGCGUGGGGGAUGAAGCAUCUCGGUGUGUAAACCCCUUUCGACUGGGACGAAUGCCUCGCAAGAGGAGUGACGGUACCAGUAGAAGAAGCCCCGGCUAACUACGUGCCAGCAGCCGCGGUAAGACGUAGGGGGCCAGCGUUGUUCGGAAUUACUGGGUGUAAAGGGUUCGUAGGCGGUGUGGCAAGUCGGGAGUGAAAUCUAUGGGCUUAACCCAUAGGCUGCUUCCGAAACUGCUGUGCUGGAGUGUGGGAGAGGCGCGUGGAAUUGCAGGUGUAGCGGUGAAAUGCGUAGAUAUCUGCAGGAACACCCGUGGCGAAAGCGGCGCGCUGGACCACUACUGACGCUGAGGAACGAAAGCUAGGGGAGCAAACAGGAUUAGAUACCCUGGUAGUCCUAGCCCUAAACGAUCACGACUUGGGGUGCCGCACGUUCGUGCGUCGUCCCGGAGCUAACGCGUUAAGUCCUGCACCUGGGGAGUACGGUCGCAAGACUGAAACUCAAAGGAAUUGACGGGGGCCCGCACAAGCGGUGGAACAUGUGGUUCAAUUCGACGCUACGCGA
Molecule: ribosomal RNA, 952 nt
Filed under: uncultured bacterium
Lineage: Bacteria
Description: bacterial SSU rRNA
Rfam family: Bacterial small subunit ribosomal RNA
Source: RNAcentral